Molecule: unclassified non-coding RNA, 434 nt
Filed under: soil metagenome
Description: partial contains 5.8S ribosomal RNA, internal transcribed spacer 2, and large subunit ribosomal RNA
Rfam family: 5.8S ribosomal RNA (bases 1-120)
Source: RNAcentral
GAUGAAGAACGCAGCGAAAUGCGAUAAGUAAUGUGAAUUGCAGAAUUCAGUGAAUCAUCGAAUCUUUGAACGCAUAUUGCGCUCUUUGGUAUUCCGAAGAGCAUGCUUGUUUGAGUAUCAGUAAACACCUCAAAGCUUUUGGAUUUUUUAAUCGAAAAGCUUUGGACUUGAGCAAUCCCAACACCAAUCUUUUUGAGAUCGGUGGCGGGUUGCUUGAAAUGCAGGUGCAGCUGGACAUUCUCCUGAGCUAAAAGCAUAUUCAUUUAGUCCCGUCAAACGGAUUAUUACUUUUGCUGCAGCUAACAUAAAGGGAGUUUGACCGUAUUGGCUGACUGAUGCAGGAUUUCACAAGGGUCGGCAACGAUUCUUGUUAAACUCGAUCUCAAAUCAAGUAAGACUACCCGCUGAACUUAAGCAUAUCAAUAAGCGGAGGA